UACGUAGGGAGCGAGCGUUAUCCGGAAUUAUUGGGUGUAAAGGGUGCGUAGACGGGAAUACAAGUUAGUUGUGAAAUCCCUCGGCUUAACUGAGGAACUGCAACUAAAACUAUAUUUCUUGAGUGCAGGAGAGGUAAGUGGAAUUCCUAGUGUAGCGGUGGAAUGCGUAGAUAUUAGGAGGAACACCAGUGGCGAAGGCGACUUACUGGACUGUAACUGACGUUGAGGCACGAAAGUGUGGGGAGCAAACAGG
RNAcentral lists this ribosomal RNA (253 nucleotides) under uncultured bacterium. Its description in RNAcentral is "partial 16S ribosomal RNA". It matches the Rfam family "Bacterial small subunit ribosomal RNA", at positions 524 to 776 of the family's 1533-position model. The record is from RNAcentral.